AUGAGCUUGACUAGGGCGAGGGGCUCGUGCUCGUGCUCGAGCUCGACAAGACGCACUUCGAUCUCGUCACCAACUACGAGCUGGACUGUGAGACUCCAGAGCAGGCGGGGGCGACGAAGACGAAAGUGGGGGCAGUUCGAGCUUGUCGCUGCCGGAGACCCUGGAGAGGUGCGCGAAGAGACCUGGUUAGAUUUGUUGGCCACCACUGUAAACUGGACUAAUAACAAAUCGGAUGUCAUCUCUCAUGUUGCCGAUUCAACCCUGGANGCUGUAUGUUGGUUUUGGAAAUCAUUUACCUUUCAAUCUUGGAAGGCCCUAAGCUAA
This 324-nucleotide ribosomal RNA is filed under the name Triticum aestivum (bread wheat). RNAcentral describes it as "partial small subunit ribosomal RNA". Lineage: Eukaryota; Viridiplantae; Streptophyta; Magnoliopsida; Poales; Poaceae. The record is from RNAcentral.